Molecule: long non-coding RNA, 3525 nt
Organism: Onychomys torridus (southern grasshopper mouse)
Lineage: Eukaryota; Metazoa; Chordata; Mammalia; Rodentia; Cricetidae
Exons: 3
Source: RefSeq, a predicted model, not a curated record
GUCCAAGUUAUGGAAGAUCUCGCUCUCGAAGCCGUAGUCGUAGCAGAAGCCGUAGCAGAAGCAACAGCAGGAGUCGCAGUUACUCCCCAAGGAGAAGCAGAGGAUCACCACGCUAUUCUCCCCGUCAUAGCAGAUCUCGCUCGCGUACAUAAGAUGAUUGGUGACGCUUUUUGUAGAACCCAUGUUGUAUACAGUUUUCCUUUACUCAGUACAAUCUUCAUUUUUUAAUUCAAACUGUUUUGUUCAGAACGGGCUAAAGUGUUGAAUCUGCAUUCUUGUGUAAUAUCCCCUUGCUCCUAACACCUACAUUCCCCUCAUGUCUUUGGUAAAUUGUAUUUUAAGUGAUGUCAUAGACAGGACUGUUUAAAUUUAGUUAAUUUCCAUGCUCUUCAGACUGUGAUAUUGUGUAAAUGUCUAUUCUGCUCUGGUUUGUGUGAAAUGGGAUGUUGGGGGGUGUUUGUGGUUAUCUUACUUGGGGAAGUUCUUAUGUUUAUCUUGCUUUUCAUGUGUCUUUCUGUAGACAUAUCUGAAGAGAUGGAUUAAGAAUGCUUUGGAUUAAGGAUUGUGGAGCACAUUUCAAUCAUUUUAGGAUUGUCAAAAGGAGGAUUGAGGAGGAUCAGAUCAAUAAUGGAGGCAAUGGUUUGGAUUGGAGAGGGCUCACUGGAUCCCAAUCCUUGGAGCUGGAUCAUUGGAUUCAAAUCAUAAUGUGGAUAGGAUAGGGAGGAUGAAUUUCCAGGAGUCAUGGAGCGGGAUCAGAUUACCAGGAACAUAGGAGUGGAUUCCUUCCUGCCCCAACCAAACCGCAUUCGUGUGGAUUUUUUUUCAUUCAACUUAAUUGGCUAUUCCAAAGAGUUUUUUUUUUCCUAUUUUUGACGAUUGGAGCCCUUAAGAUGCACGAUGGAAUUGUGUUUUGCAUUUUUUGGUAAAAGGAGCAAAGCGAGGACCUGGAGAUAUACGCUGGAGCAAUCUCCUUGGAAGGAUUCAGCACGAGUAGAUGGUAAACAUUUAAAGGGGAAAAGGGGGGGUUUGUUUAAAAUAGUAAAUCAGUAAGUCACUUCUAAAUUUAAAGAAAACAAAAUUGGAGUUGAAGAAUAAGUAGGUUUUCAAUUGGCUAUUGCCAUUUUUCUUUGAAAAAUAAACAUUUUUUAAAAAACGAUGCAUGGUUGUCCUUUUUCCUCUUCAUGUAAAAUUUUGCUGAGUAACUAGUGUAUCAGUUAUUUCUUUAAAUUGAUAAGAUUCUGACUUGUCUAUGUGUUAGUAAAUUAAAGAUUCUAAUAAAUGAUAAUAACUGUCUCUUACUGUUGUGGAAGUCUUAAGGGGAUAAUAAACUGAGUGUGAGGCAGUCAUGUAUGUAGUACAAUUAUGUAGGGGUAAUAGUCUGGAAAUUAAGCUUUCAUAUUUUGCUAAAGUGUGAUUAAGAACUUACAGGUGCUGUUUAUUUUGGUAAAUACUUUAGACAAAUAGAAUUUUGUACAAAGUUGAUUGAUAGCUAGUGAGUUUUGAUAUUAGCUUAGAGGUAACCAUUGAGAUCCUUGGUGAAAUUCAAAUUAUGUAUUAACAUUAGCAGGGGAAUUAGAAUGUAGUACAAAUAUUUUUGAAUUGUGGACAGUAUGCUGGCAGAUUAACUGCUUAUUGGGUGAAUCAACGUCUUGUAAAUCUUUUCAGCCAUAAAGAGUAUUCUGUCCCCAAACUUAGUGUUCUGUAUUAAAUCAGCAAUUCUAUCUUAAGUCUACUGUUGUAUCUGAUAGCCCCUGUCAUCUUGCUUAGAUUGGAGUAUGGAAAUUUUAUUUAAAAUCCCAAGUUUUUUAUUUCCUUCUGGUUAAAAUGAACAAGCCACUUGUCAGUAUCCCAGUAGAAAUAGCUAGAUCUUUAACCUUUUUUCCCUUGUGUUGCAGGCUGAAUUUCAGGUUAUUCAAAUACAAGAUAACAUAUAGGGGAGACCAAGAGUCUUGGUAGUAAAAGAAGUGGGCUUUAAGAAAUCUGCAUGAGGUCACUCAACCUAUAUGUCUCAGUGAACUUUUAAAGGCUUUCCUGGAAGACGUGCAAAACUAGGGUUUCAGUUUAGUUAAAGCAAUGUAGACUCAUUAAAGUUAAAGUAGCUAUAGUUACAGAAUUCAAAUAACCAAGGGGCAGAGAUUUGCUUUUGAAAAGAAUCCUAAGGAAUUAGCAUAACUAAACAUGGCAUGAUUAAAAUUUUAAAUGUGAAUAUAAAGUUUUUAAAUAAAUUGAGGAAAAUUCUCAAAUGGUGGGUUGUGUUUUCCCUCCAGAUGGCCUUGCUCUGGUCCAGACUUUCCUAGAAUUCAGGAUAUAGCCCAGGCUGGGCUCAAAGCAAUCUUAUCUCCCACGCUCUGGGAUUAUGGAUGUGAACCACCAUGCCCAAUUUACUAAAAUAAUUUUGAAAGGUGAAUGUGAGCUAAAUAUAAACAAGUGUGGGCUGUUUUGAAUGCUUUGGAACCAGGACCAAAACUGGUCUCUUUUCAAGGUUAUCUGUUUUUAGUAGUUCAGCCCUAUAUUAGAAAUGAGAAAAGUAUUCUUUGCCAUACAGGUUUGGGUUUGAACACUAGAGAGCAGUGCUUGUGAAAAAUAAAUUAAGUUUUAAGUCUAUAGGCCUAUACCCAUACUAACAAUUUAUACCAUUUGGAAAUAAAAAUACUACUUUGAUUUCCACCCCCCCCCCCUUCUCUGUUCCCUUAGGAUAUUGUAGGGUCUCUAUGAUUAGUUUUUCUAACCAAGAAAGCACUUAAAUCUCUUUAAGCAAGUACUUUGCAUAACAUCUGAUUGAAUAACCCAACUUGCUGUUCAGCUCAUCCUACCGGAGACAAAGGCUGACCAGUUCUCUGGUGGUUACUGCUACUGAUCCAUCCAAACUGCUGGACUUCUCGUUUAUACCCAAGGCCUCCAGGCAGUAUCUAAUGAGGAGUCAACACUAAAAGGAACCAGACCAUCAUUUCCCAGCCCCUUUAUUCUGGUGACUGAUGGACAAGUGCGAGAGGAAUGUAUUUGCUUGUUUAAUGGGUGGGAAAACGAUAGAUCAAGUUGCUGUUCCUCUUCAGUUUCUAUUCUCAAGUUCUGCAACUGUGCUACUUGGAUCAUAUAUAUUGGGGGAAGUUGAAGAUGUGUCUUUCAUUAGAAGUGUCUGGAGGGGAUAAGAGUCAGUUUGAAAUAUGUUGAAGUCCUGAAAUAAUGUGCCCAUCUGAGGAAUUUUUAAAAACAAGUUUAUAAAAAUACCAUGGAUGGAGCCUGCCCCCUCAUUUCCUCACCACAGAUUUCUUGGACUGGAGACACGUGUUUAAUAAUAGCUUGUCUCUGAUAUUCACAGUAGCUACCUCUAUAUGAGGAAAGGAUAGAAAACAUUCAAGACUCAUUCGGGCUUAUGAUCUACAGAGUCCAACCAGUAGCAGUGGCUGACUCCUGCACAGAAGACGGGACUGCAAACGGGCCGGGGCCACCUCGGUGACAUCUGACGCUGGCCAACCAGAAGUCUGACUUUUCCGGGGAAGGGGGGGGAAAUGUACUAAAAGACUA